ACGGGAGGCAGCAGUGGGGAAUUUUGGACAAUGGGGGCAACCCUGAUCCAGCAAUGCCGCGUGUGUGAAGAAGGCCUUCGGGUUGUAAAGCACUUUUGUCCGGAAAGAAAACCUCCGUCCUAAUACGGUGGGGGGAUGACGGUACCGGAAGAAUAAGCACCGGCUAACUACGUGCCAGCAGCCGCGGUAAUACGUAGGGUGCAAGCGUUAAUCGGAAUUACUGGGCGUAAAGCGUGCGCAGGCGGUUCGCUAAGACCGAUGUGAAAUCCCCGGGCUUAACCUGGGAACUGCAUUGGUGACUGGCGGGCUAGAGUAUGGCAGAGGGGGGUAGAAUUCCACGUGUAGCAGUGAAAUGCGUAGAGAUGUGGAGGAAUACCGAUGGCGAAGGCAGCCCCCUGGGCCAAUACUGACGCUCAUGCACGAAAGCGUGGGGAGCAAACAGGAUUAGAUACCCUGGUAGUCCACGCCCUAAACGAUGUCAACUAGUUGUCGGGUCUUCAUUGACUUGGUAACGAAGCUAACGCGUGAAGUUGACCGCCUGGGGAGUACGGUCGCAAGAUUAAAACUCAAAGGAAUUGACGGGGACCCGCACAAGCGGUGGAUGAUGUGGAUUAAUUCGAUGCAACGCGAAAAACCUUACCUACCCUUGACAUGUACGGAACCU
This 664-nucleotide ribosomal RNA is filed under the name Paraburkholderia sp. Its description in RNAcentral is "bacterial SSU rRNA". It matches the Rfam family "Bacterial small subunit ribosomal RNA", at positions 341 to 998 of the family's 1533-position model. Lineage: Bacteria; Pseudomonadati; Pseudomonadota; Betaproteobacteria; Burkholderiales; Burkholderiaceae. The record is from RNAcentral.